Molecule: ribosomal RNA, 429 nt
Filed under: bacterium
Lineage: Bacteria
Description: partial 16S ribosomal RNA
Rfam family: Bacterial small subunit ribosomal RNA
Source: RNAcentral
UAGGGAAUCUUCCACAAUGGACGCAAGUCUGAUGGAGCAACGCCGCGUGAGUGAAGAAGGUUUUCGGAUCGUAAAGCUCUGUUGUUGGUGAAGAAGGAUAGAGGCAGUAACUGGUCUUUAUUUGACGGUAAUCAACCAGAAAGUCACGGCUAACUACGUGCCAGCAGCCGCGGUAAUACGUAGGUGGCAAGCGUUGUCCGGAUUUAUUGGGCGUAAAGCGAGCGCAGGCGGAAUGAUAAGUCUGAUGUGAAAGCCCACGGCUCAACCGUGGAACUGACUCGGAAACUGUCAUUCUUGACUGCAGAAGAGGCGAGUGGAAUUCCAUGUGUAGCGGUGGAAUGCGUAGAUAUAUGGAAGAACACCAGUGGCGAAGGCGGCUCUCUGGUCUGCAACUGACGCUGAGGCUCGAAAGCAUGGGUAGCGAACAGG